GAUGAAGAACGUAGCAAAAUGCGAUAAGUAAUGUGUAUUGCAGAAUUCAGUGAAUCAUCGAAUCUUUGAACGCACAUUGCGCCCGCUGGUAUUCCGGCGGGCAUGCCUGUUCGAGCGUCAUUUCAACCCUCAAGCCCCCGGGUUUGGUGUUGGGGAUCGGCUCUGCCCUUCUGGGCGGUGCCGCCCCCGAAAUACAUUGGCGGUCUCGCUGCAGCCUCCAUUGCGUAGUAGCUAACACCUCGCAACUGGAACGCGGCGCGGCCAUGCCGUAAAACCCCAACUUCUGAAUGUUGACCUCGGAUCAGGUAGGAAUACCCGCUGAACUUAAGCAUAUCAAUAAGCGGAGGA
RNAcentral lists this unclassified non-coding RNA (348 nucleotides) under soil metagenome. RNAcentral describes it as "partial contains 5.8S ribosomal RNA, internal transcribed spacer 2, and large subunit ribosomal RNA". The stretch from base 1 to 120 matches the Rfam family "5.8S ribosomal RNA", at positions 35 to 154 of the family's 154-position model. The record is from RNAcentral.